RNAcentral lists this long non-coding RNA (1044 nucleotides) under Homo sapiens (human). RNAcentral describes it as "long independently transcribed non-coding RNA 2715, transcript variant 1 (LINC02715)". The record is from RNAcentral. Lineage: Eukaryota; Metazoa; Chordata; Mammalia; Primates; Hominidae.
AUCUGAAGUGUGAAUAGGAUUGGUGAAAGAGUGAAAGAGUGUUGUGUGCUUUUGCUGAGUUUAGGAUGGUGUCAAUUGUGCCUCAGGAGAAGAGUUUAGACAUUCUGUCCUGAUGAAUGUAAUCAAGUCUUUAUUUCAUGGUUUCUCUUAACGCAAAUACGUACAGGUUCAUAUUCGUCGAUGAGGGUGAGAGGAAAACUAUCGCCAACAGAAAGAAUCCAGAUAGGAAGAGAGAAAAAGAAAGACCAGAGAUGGAUUUUGUGUCCUUUUUAAAACAGCCUCAAUCACCUGAUUCCUCCCUGCCACUUCUCUGCAAAUGAUAGAGUUCACACAUCUAUAAUUCUCUCAUAGGUUCAUGUGGGCUGCUCCUCAUAACCCUGCUCAAACACUACUGAGGCAUCAGGAUCUUCAAGAUUCAUCUCUCUUUGGUGACUUCCUGAAGCUUGAAGUAUCUUCCUUGGGAGACGUAUUAUAGAAUUUGAAAUCCCACUGGCCAGAUCUCAGCAUGUAGUUUCAUCCCAACUCUACAGAAGUCUGGAAAAUACAGAGAGAACAUGCUCUUUCCCUAGGAAGAAGAGAUGAGAGCUCCAUCUCUCUGCUGGUGGAAGGAGAGGUUGUCUUUCCCUUCCCAUAGGGCAAGAAGAGCUGCCUCCACAUCCUCCUUCUGCUGUAGCUGAAGAGCCUGUUUAAAGGAACAUCCUGAUGGGGCUCAGCCUUUUGACCCCCAGAAAACAUGGCUUUGUCUGCCAUCCUGCAGCUCAUCAUGGGAGCCUGCAAAGUGGUUGGGGGCAGCACACACCAGCAUGCUGUGAAGAGAGGAAAGAGCUGCCGGGAUAACAACCCCGCAGCCACCAUAAUGACUCAGAUUAGAACACAAGGGAACACCAGCCAUUUUUUAGUCUGUCAGUUUUUCUAUUAUCCUCAAGACUGAGCAUGAAACAUUCAUUAUAACACGUCCUUAUUGAUUCAACUGAUGGAAAUAUAUUGGUAUUAAUAACACGAAACUCUAAGGCACUGAGGAUAAUAAAAUGAUUGCGAACAUAA